Molecule: ribosomal RNA, 379 nt
Filed under: uncultured organism
Description: partial 16S ribosomal RNA
Rfam family: Bacterial small subunit ribosomal RNA
Source: RNAcentral
GUAGGGGAGCAAACGUUGUCCGGAUUUAUUGGGCGUAAAGGGCUCGUAGGCGGGUUCAACAAGUCGGUCGUGAAAACCCGGGGGGCUCAACCCCGGGGACGCCGGUCGAAACUGUUGUGACUAGAGUUCGGUAGAGGUGAGUGGAAUUCUCGGUGUAGCGGUGGAAUGCGCAGAUAUCGAGAGGAACACCAUUAGCGAAGGCGGCUCACUGGGCCGAUACUGACGCUGAGGAGCGAAAGCGUGGGGAGCAAACAGGGUUAGAUACCCUGGUAGUCCACGCCGUAAACGAUGAACACUAGGUGUGGCGGACUGAUUCAUGUCGGCUGCGCCGUAGCUAACGCAUUAAGUGUUCCGCCUGGGGAGUACGGCCGCAAGGCUA